This 307-nucleotide unclassified non-coding RNA is filed under the name plant metagenome. Its description in RNAcentral is "partial contains 5.8S ribosomal RNA, internal transcribed spacer 2, and large subunit ribosomal RNA". The stretch from base 1 to 105 matches the Rfam family "5.8S ribosomal RNA", at positions 50 to 154 of the family's 154-position model. The record is from RNAcentral.
GAAAUGCGAUAAGUAGUGUGAAUUGCAGAAUUCAGUGAAUCAUCGAAUCUUUGAACGCACAUUGCGCCCUUUGGUAUUCCAAAGGGCAUGCCUGUUCGAGCGUCAUUUGUACCCUCAAGCUUUGCUUGGUGUUGGGCGUCUUGUCUCUAGCUUUGCUGGAGACUCGCCUUAAAGUAAUUGGCAGCCGGCCUACUGGUUUCGGAGCGCAGCACAAGUCGCACUCUCUAUCAGAAAAGGUCUAGCAUCCAUUAAGCCUUUUUUCAACUUUUGACCUCGGAUCAGGUAGGGAUACCCGCUGAACUUAAGC